CAGUUAUCGUUUAUUUGAUAGUAUCUUUCUACAUGGAUACCUGUGGUAAUUCUAGAGCUAAUACAUGCUAAAAACCCCGACUCCGGAAGGGGUGUAUUUAUUAGAUAAAAAACCGAUGCCCUUCGGGGCUCCGUGGUGAUUCAUAAUAACUCAACGAAUCGCAUGGCCUUGCGCCGGCGAUGGUUCAUUCAAAUUUCUGCCCUAUCAACUUUCGAUGGUAGGAUAGUGGCCUACCAUGGUGGCAACGGGUAGGCAUAUCUCCCGGUUGCCCGUGCCUGACCCGGUUGAGUGACCCCCCGGGAUCACUCGGCGACAUCACUGGUUCGGAGGAGACCCCCUCUCAACGCGAAGGGGUUUACUCCGAGGCGAGCACCGCACGGGUGCCGUCGCAACGCAUGUCAAGUGAUGGAUACCCGACACACGGGGGUUUCAGAUACAUGCUGACCGCCCGGCUUCCGCCGGGGACGGAGACAAUGAACGGGGAAUUAGGGUUCGAUUCCGGAGAGGGAGCCUGAGAAACGGCUACCACAUCCAAGGAAGGCAGCAGGCGCGCAAAUUACCCAAUCCCGAUACGGGGAGGUAGUGACAAUAAAUACUGAUACAGAGCUCUUUUGGGUUUUGUAAUUGGAAUGAGUACAAUUUAAAUCUCUCGGGUUCUCGUGGGGGAUUAGCCUGGAACGAGUCGCUCGGGCGGCACCGGUCACGGUGUCUUCCGGGGGGCAACACCUGCGCUCUGCGGGGACCCUUCCGGGUACGGAGGGAACCCGCCACCCUGACUCGCUGGGGGUCGGGGCUCAGAGACUAAGUGCGGGUGGGUGACCGAGCGUUACUUUCGAUAUAGUCCAACCCUUCGGGCGACCAGCCCGGGGGUUACAGUGUAACGAGGAACAAUUGGAGGGCAAGUCUGGUGGGCACGACAGUGUUCCAGUGGGAGGAUUUUUCCUCGCUGCUGACGCCAGUCAUAGGUUGGGUCUCGGUGUGUCAACGUUUGGGACCCGGUUUAGUGGGAUAGUAUCCUGCGAGGUAUCUGGUACGGGGAAGGGCCUCUGGACAGGCUUCAUCCCGUGGUUAGAGGGUUCACCCUCAGCCUUAACGCACGCCAGGGUAUCGGUGAUGGUCCACGGGGCGUCAUUCUAGGUACGUGCUAGUCCCACCGUCGGUGGGUGUUCCGGCCAGCAGCCGCGGUAAUUCCAGCUCCAAUAGCGUAUAUUAAAGUUGUUGUAGUUAAAAAGCUCGUAGUUGAACCUUGGGCCUGGCUGACCGGUCCGCCUCACCGCGUGCACUGGUUCGGCCGGGCCUUUCUUUCUGGGGAACCGCAUGCCCUUCACUGGGUGUGCCGGGGAAUCAGGACUUUUACUUUGAAAAAAUUAGAGUGUUCAAAGCAGGCCUAUGCUCGGAUACAUUAGCAUGGAA
This 1413-nucleotide ribosomal RNA is filed under the name Megaspora verrucosa. RNAcentral describes it as "partial 18S ribosomal RNA". It matches the Rfam family "Eukaryotic small subunit ribosomal RNA", at positions 107 to 814 of the family's 1831-position model. The record is from RNAcentral. Lineage: Eukaryota; Fungi; Ascomycota; Lecanoromycetes; Pertusariales; Megasporaceae.